Molecule: ribosomal RNA, 433 nt
Filed under: uncultured bacterium
Lineage: Bacteria
Description: partial 16S ribosomal RNA
Rfam family: Bacterial small subunit ribosomal RNA
Source: RNAcentral
AACGAACGCUGGCGGCAUGCCUAACACAUGCAAGUCGAACGAGACCUUCGGGUCUAGUGGCGCACGGGUGCGUAACGCGUGGGAUCCUGCCCUUAGGUUCGGAAUAACUCCCCGAAAGGGGUGCUAAUAACGGAUAAUGUCUUCGGACCAAAGAUUUAUCGCCUUUGGCUGGGCCCGCGUUGGAUUAGUUAGUUGGUAGGGUAAAAGCCUACCAAGGCGACGAUCCAUAGCUGGUCUGAGAGGAUGACCAGCCACACUGGGACUGAGACACGGCCCAGACUCGGACGGGAGGCAGCAGUGGGGAAUAUUGGACAAUGGGCGAAAGCCUGAUCCAGCAAUGCCGCGUGAGUGAUGAAGGCCUUAGGGUUGUAAAGCUCUUUUAGCCGGGAUGAUAAUGACAGUACCGGGAUAAUAAGCACCGGCUAACUCCGUG